Non-coding RNA from Microcebus murinus (gray mouse lemur), 543 nucleotides. NCBI's taxonomy places the organism in Eukaryota, Metazoa, Chordata, Mammalia, Primates, Cheirogaleidae. The record is from RefSeq and is a predicted model, not a curated record.
AUUCAUUAACAUGGAACGCAUGGCCAACACAGUAGAACUGAUGCGUGAACGAAGCCCAUCUCACAUGUCUUUUCUCCAUGAGGCCCAUCCCAGCCUUCCCAUGUUUAGAAACUCAGGACUAGCCUUUGGAAUCAUCUGGAGCAGCAACAUCAGCAACAAAAAGCACAAAAAUGCAAAACACGUGGUGCUAAGUAGAUCACAGAAAGGAUACUUAUUUACAGUAUGAGAGUUGAAACAAAAAGGCAGAAACCUGGGCAUCGGGAGACCCACCUCUUUCCAGGAAUGAGGGCAAAAGCACUGGAAGUGUCUGGAACUGUUAAAGGCAAGACUCUUCCGGUUGACCACAGCGGAUGCCCGUGGUGCUGCUGGGUGGCCCCCAACUCACUGACAAGGAUAGUGACUACGGACGGAGCACUUGCUGCGGGUUCCCAAACUUCACCACCCUGGAUGCCGUUUUAUUUUGUUGCGUUUGUUUUUUAAUCCCCAGAGACUUCGUGUUUUGAAAAUUGAUAUCUGUCAAUUAAAGUGCAUUGAUUAUGUAAA